This 20-nucleotide small nuclear RNA is filed under the name Arabidopsis thaliana (thale cress). RNAcentral's name for it is "snRNA_13518". Lineage: Eukaryota; Viridiplantae; Streptophyta; Magnoliopsida; Brassicales; Brassicaceae. The record is from RNAcentral.
AGACUAAUUUUACUCUCUCU